ACAGCCAUACCACAUUGAAAACACCGGUUCUCGUCCGAUCACCGAAGUUAAGCAAUGUAGGGCCCGGUCAGUACUUGGGAGGGUGACCACCUGGGAACACCGGGUGCUGUAGGCU
Molecule: ribosomal RNA, 115 nt
Filed under: Cordylochernes scorpioides
Lineage: Eukaryota; Metazoa; Arthropoda; Arachnida; Pseudoscorpiones; Chernetidae
Source: RNAcentral